Thamnophis elegans (Western terrestrial garter snake) is the source of this 608-nucleotide long non-coding RNA. RefSeq lists it as uncharacterized. The transcript is spliced from 2 exons. The record is from RefSeq and is a predicted model, not a curated record. NCBI's taxonomy places the organism in Eukaryota, Metazoa, Chordata, Lepidosauria, Squamata, Natricidae.
CCAAACUGGGGAACCGGGGAAGAAAUACAAUUAAGGCAGUUUGCAUCCUCACAAUUUUUUUUUAUAUGUAGAAGGAACGCAGUAUUGCAAGCAGAUACUGGAGUUCGAUCCUCAUGGGGCUUAAGAUUGACUCAACCUUCCAUCCUUCUGAGGAAAUUAUUGCUGCUAUUAAAGAGCGGAUUCAGAGACUCAAUGAAAUGUGGCUCCCUCCCCCACUAAUCCUCCUGUUCCACAGAAAUGGGGAACUGCUGGAAGAAUGGAGAAAGGGUGGUGUGAUGGAAGUUUAAGAAACCAAAUCUGAGAUACUUCUUCAGAAUGGAAGGACUUCUUUGCAUAUGAAAGGUGCAAUUUAAGAAUGUACAAGAGUUCCCUCCUAAUAGGAACAAUGAGAAGUACUUGAGGAAAAGCCUGUUGCUUAGUAGUAAAACAUGCUUUGCAUACUAAGGACCUCAACUUCAGGGAGGAAGGGAAAAAUAGAAAAGUAUUAAAAUACAAAUAUACAAGUAAAAAAAUGGUACAAGUGGAUUUAUUAUUGGAAAGUAAAAUGUCGAAGAGAAAAUUAUUUUUUCAUGCAAAUAUAAACUCGGGAUCACUGAAAUGCCACCCCG